GCCUGGCUGGCUCAGUUGGCAGAGCAUGUGACUCUUGAUCCCGGGGCUGUGAGUUUGAGCCCCACAUUAGGUG
RNAcentral lists this transfer RNA (73 nucleotides) under Ailuropoda melanoleuca (giant panda). It matches the Rfam family "tRNA". Rfam says of the family: Transfer RNA (tRNA) molecules are approximately 80 nucleotides in length. Their secondary structure includes four short double-helical elements and three loops (D, anti-codon, and T loops). Lineage: Eukaryota; Metazoa; Chordata; Mammalia; Carnivora; Ursidae. The record is from Rfam by way of RNAcentral.